RNAcentral lists this unclassified non-coding RNA (343 nucleotides) under soil metagenome. RNAcentral describes it as "partial contains 5.8S ribosomal RNA, internal transcribed spacer 2, and large subunit ribosomal RNA". The stretch from base 1 to 119 matches the Rfam family "5.8S ribosomal RNA", at positions 35 to 154 of the family's 154-position model. The record is from RNAcentral.
GAUGAAGAACGUAGUGAAAUGCGAUAAGUAAUGCGAAUUGCAGAAUCCGUGAGUCAUCGAAUCUUUGAACGCACAUUGCGCCCACUGGUAUUCCGGUGGGCAUGCCUGUUCGAGCGUCAUUAUCCUCCCUCAAACCCCGGGUUUGGUGUUGGACCCAAGUUGUGUGAACAACUGGUCUCAAAGACAAUGACGGCGUCCGUGGGACCCUCGGUGCAACGAGCUUUUAGGAGCACGCAUCGAGUUGCAAGGACCUUCCGGGCCGGUCUCCUUUACCAUUUUACAAGGUUGACCUCGGAUCAGGUAGGAAUACCCGCUGAACUUAAGCAUAUCAAUAAGCGGAGGA